CCUACGGGGGGCAGCAGUGGGGAAUAUUGGACAAUGGGGGGAACCCUGAUCCAGCCAUGCCGCGUGUGUGAAGAAGGCCCUCGGGUUGUAAAGCACUUUCAGUGAGGAAGAACGCCUGGUGGUUAAUACCCAUCAGGAAAGACAUCACUCACAGAAGAAGCACCGGCUAACUCCGUGCCAGCAGCCGCGGUAAUACGGAGGGUGCGAGCGUUAAUCGGAAUUACUGGGCGUAAAGCGCGCGUAGGUGGCUUGAUAAGCCGGUUGUGAAAGCCCCGGGCUCAACCUGGGAACGGCAUCCGGAACUGUCAAGCUAGAGUGCAGGAGAGGAAGGUAGAAUUCCCGGUGUAGCGGUGAAAUGCGUAGAGAUCGGGAGGAAUACCAGUGGCGAAGGCGGCCUUCUGGACUGACACUGACACUGAGGUGCGAAAGCGUGGGUAGCAAACAGGAUUAGAUACUCCUGUAGUC
This 465-nucleotide ribosomal RNA is filed under the name Vreelandella stevensii. RNAcentral's name for it is "partial 16S ribosomal RNA". It matches the Rfam family "Bacterial small subunit ribosomal RNA", at positions 338 to 795 of the family's 1533-position model. Lineage: Bacteria; Pseudomonadati; Pseudomonadota; Gammaproteobacteria; Oceanospirillales; Halomonadaceae. The record is from RNAcentral.